CAAUAAGUUUAGGAACUUGUACAUGAAUAAUUGGCAGGGAGAGAGACUCAGGGUUGAGAGGUCAGUUGGAAAGCCUGGUCAGGCAUGAGCUGAUUAAAGUCUGAACUAGACUGCGGGCAAUAAGAAUCAACGGGAAGACAAAAUGCAAGACACAUUUUUAAGGAAGGAAUGACAAGAUUUUGAGCUCUAUUGGAGGUUAGAGGUGAAGGAAAGGGAAGAGUAAAAGACUACUAGGAAGUUUCAGACCUGGAUGAUUUAAGAAUAAGGUUGUCACAACCAGGAAUAGAAAGUCAGAAGGAAGAGCCAACUUGAGGAGGAAAAUGAGUAACUUCCAUUUUCAACUCGUUGAGUCUGAGAUGACAGAAUGUCCUGGGAAGAGCAGAGUGCCUUGCACAUGCAUCCAAGAAAUAUUUGCUCAAUUGACUAGAAUUAUCAACUCAGUCUCAGAGAGUUGGAAAGAGUGAGAAGCUGAGCGAAGGUGGCACUCUCUUACUCAGGCUUGUCCCUCAGGAGUUGGCGACAGAAGAGCAUGGCUUGAGCAGCAGUGCCUAAGUCUGCGCCUGGGAUCCGAACCGGCGAACCCCAGGCCGCCAAAG
RNAcentral lists this long non-coding RNA (596 nucleotides) under Equus caballus (horse). RNAcentral describes it as "lncRNA (ENSECAG00000044716.1)". Lineage: Eukaryota; Metazoa; Chordata; Mammalia; Perissodactyla; Equidae. The record is from RNAcentral.